RNAcentral lists this ribosomal RNA (1378 nucleotides) under uncultured bacterium. RNAcentral's name for it is "bacterial SSU rRNA". It matches the Rfam family "Bacterial small subunit ribosomal RNA", at positions 28 to 1381 of the family's 1533-position model. The record is from RNAcentral.
GACGAACGCUGGCGGCGUGCCUAAUACAUGCAAGUGGAACGCAUUUUAAUCACCGUAGCUUGCUACACCGAAUAAAAUGAGUCGCGAACGGGUGAGUAACGCGUAGGUAACCUACCUUCUAGCGGGGGACAACUAUUGGAAACGAUAGCUAAUGCCGCAUAAGACAUUAUAUCGCAUGAUAGGAUGUUAAAAGAUACAAUUGUAUCACUAGGAGAUGGACCUGCGUUGUAUUAGCUAGUUGGUGAGGUAACGGCUCACCAAGGCAGCGAUACAUAGCCGACCUGAGAGGGUGAUCGGCCACACUGGGACUGAGACACGGCCCAGACUCCUACGGGAGGCCGCAGUAGGGAAUCUUCGGCAAUGGGGGCAACCCUGACCGAGCAACGCCGCGUGAGUGAAGAAGGUUUUCGGAUCGUAAAGCUCUGUUGUAAGCGAAGAAGAGUGUUAGGAGUGGAAAAUCUAACACAUGACGGUAGCUUACCAGAAAGGGACGGCUAACUACGUGCCAGCAGCCGCGGUAAUACGUAGGUCUCGAGCGUUGUCCGGAUUUAUUGGGCGUAAAGCGAGCGCAGGCGGUUAGAUAAGUCAGAAGUUAAAGGCUGUGGCUCAACCAUAGUAUGCUUUUGAAACUGUUUAACUUGAGUGCAGAAGGGGAGAGUGGAAUUCCAUGUGUAGCGGUGAAAUGCGUAGAUAUAUGGAGGAACACCGGUGGCGAAAGCGGCUCUCUGGUCUGUGACUGACGCUGAGGCUCGAAGGCGUGGGUAGCGAACAGGAUUAGAUACCCUGGUAGUCCACGCCGUAAACGAUGAGUGCUAGGUGUUAGACCCUUUCCGGGGUUUAGUGCCGUAGCUAACGCAUUAAGCACUCCGCCUGGGGAGUACGACCGCAAGGUUGAAACUCAAAGGAAUUGACGGGGGCCCGCACAAGCGGUGGAGCAUGGUGGUUUAAUUCGAAGCAACGCGAAGAACCUUACCAGGUCUUGACAUCCCUCUGACCGGUCUAGAGAUAGGCUUUCCCUUUUGGGCAGAGGAGACAGGUGGUGCAUGGUUGUCGUCAGCUCGUGUCGUGAGAUGUUGGGUUAAGUCCCGCAACGAGCGCAACCCUUAUUGUUAGUUGCCAUCAUUGAGUUGGGCACUCUAGCGAGACUGCCGGUAAUAAACCGGAGGAAGGUGGGGAUGACGUCAAAUCAUCAUGCCCCUUAUGACCUGGGCUACACACGUGCUACAAUGGUUGGUACAACGAGUCGCAAGCCGGUGACGGCAAGCUAAUCUCUUAAAGCCAAUCUCAGUUCGGAUUGUAGGCUGCAACUCGCCUACAUGAAGUCGGAAUCGCUAGUAAUCGCGGAUCAGCACGCCGCGGUGAAUACGUUCCCGGGCCU